Molecule: non-coding RNA, 733 nt
Organism: Phoenix dactylifera (date palm)
Lineage: Eukaryota; Viridiplantae; Streptophyta; Magnoliopsida; Arecales; Arecaceae
Source: RefSeq, a predicted model, not a curated record
UCAUGUUCAAUAUGUGAAUAUUGCUUUUCCUCUUCGCGGCUCCCAUAUCCGCACGGACCCACCCUCCGCCGCCUUCCUGUCCAUUAACUCGCGUCGUCUAAUCGGCUAAACUCCAUUCGUUCCCCUCUCCUCUCGUUGCUUCCACCUCCGCCUCGAAAUCACAGCCGGCGGGAGAGAAGUGGAGGCCGUGGACCUCAGCUGAUUCGUGCCGGUUCAUCUAGUUGCGGUUCACAAACAGCCACCUAUUCCCACAAUGGGUUGUCACCUUGGCGUCGUGGAAGGAACCAUGAUAUAUGAGACAAGAUGGUGGACGGAACAACGAAGCGAGAGCACUGCAGCUUGAUUCGCCACCCUUUCCAGACACUCGAUUCCACAUCAAAACUUUGAAAGGGGAGAGAAGGGGCGGGACCAUACAAAACCUCCCUCUUCACUAGUAUUGGAGGUCGAACUCCGUCAUCUCUUGUUCCAUUGUCAGAGAAGGCAGCACCAGGCUCUCGGCCGGCGAAAAAUAGCUCUAAAGUAUCCUCCAACCUCCAGUUGGUCGCCUGCAGAUACUUGACGGCGGCGUCGGAGGACAAGCCCGUGGCGUUCUCCAAGAAAGAAGAUAUUAGGGCUUCCUUGCUUCCUUCUUAAUGAAGCUCAAAAAGUCUUCCAUGGGAUGAUGGACUCUCAUUUUUUUGAUUCUAACUCCACCGGAUGCUGGGUACGUGUAUAUAUAUAAGUAUUUUAGAUA